This 495-nucleotide ribosomal RNA is filed under the name uncultured bacterium. RNAcentral's name for it is "partial 16S ribosomal RNA". It matches the Rfam family "Bacterial small subunit ribosomal RNA", at positions 28 to 523 of the family's 1533-position model. The record is from RNAcentral.
GAUGAACGCUAGCGGGAGGCCUAACACAUGCAAGCCGAGCGGUAUUUCUUCUUCGGAAGAGAGAGAGCGGCGCACGGGUGCGUAACACGUGUGCAACCUACCUUUAUCUGGGGGAUAGCCUUUCGAAAGGAAGAUUAACACCCCAUAAUAUAUUGAAUGGCAUCAUUUGAUAUUGAAAACUCCGGUGGAUAAAGAUGGGCACGCGCAAGAUUAGAUAGUUGGGGAGGUAACGGCUCACCAAGUCAAUGAUCUUUAGGGGUCCUGAGAGGGAGAUCCCCCACACUGGUACUGAGACACUGACCAGACUCCUACGGGAGGCAGCAGUGAGGAAUAUUGGACAAUGGGUGAAAGCCUGAUCCAGCCAUCCCGCGUGAAGGGUGACGGUCCUAUGGAUUGUAAACUUCUUUUGUACAGGAAUAAACCUACUCUCGUGAGAGUAGCUGAAGGUACUGUACGAAUAAGCACCGGCUAACUCCGUGCCAGCCGCCGCCGUAA